UAGCUCAGUUGGUAGAGCAUGGAGCUUGCAAUGCUAGGGUUGUGGGUUCAAUUCCUAU
Molecule: transfer RNA, 58 nt
Filed under: Salmo salar (Atlantic salmon)
Lineage: Eukaryota; Metazoa; Chordata; Actinopteri; Salmoniformes; Salmonidae
Rfam family: tRNA
About the family: Transfer RNA (tRNA) molecules are approximately 80 nucleotides in length. Their secondary structure includes four short double-helical elements and three loops (D, anti-codon, and T loops). Further hydrogen bonds mediate the characteristic L-shaped molecular structure. tRNAs have two regions of fundamental functional importance: the anti-codon, which is responsible for specific mRNA codon recognition, and the 3' end, to which the tRNAs corresponding amino acid is attached (by aminoacyl-tRNA synthetases). tRNAs cope with the degeneracy of the genetic code in two manners: having more than one tRNA (with a specific anti-codon) for a particular amino acid; and 'wobble' base-pairing, i.e. permitting non-standard base-pairing at the 3rd anti-codon position.
Source: Rfam by way of RNAcentral